This 93-nucleotide transfer RNA is filed under the name Morchella conica CCBAS932. It matches the Rfam family "tRNA". From Rfam's summary of the family: Transfer RNA (tRNA) molecules are approximately 80 nucleotides in length. Their secondary structure includes four short double-helical elements and three loops (D, anti-codon, and T loops). The record is from Rfam by way of RNAcentral. Lineage: Eukaryota; Fungi; Ascomycota; Pezizomycetes; Pezizales; Morchellaceae.
GGUCGCAUGGCCCAAUGGCAAGGCGCUUGACUACGAAACCUUCUCGUGAGGUGGGGAAUCAAGAGAUUCCAGGUUCGACCCCUGGUGCGAUCA